AGGAUGAACGCUGGCGGUCUGCUUAACACAUGCAAGUCGAACGGAGUACCUCGGUACUUAGUGGCGGACGGGUGAGUAACGCGUGAGAAUCUGCCCUUAGGUCGGAGACAACCAUUGGAAACGAUGGCUAAUACCGGAUAAGCCGAGAGGUAAAAGAUUAAUUGCCUAGGGAAGAGCUCGCGUCUGAUUAGCUAGUUGGUGAGGUAAAGGCUCACCAAGGCAUCGAUCAGUAGCUGGUCUGAGAGGAUGAUCAGCCACACUGGGACUGAGACACGGCCCAGACUCCUACGGGAGGCAGCAGUGGGGAAUUUUCCGCAAUGGGCGAAAGCCUGACGGAGCAAGACCGCGUGAGGGAGGAAGGCUCUUGGGUUGUAAACCUCUUUUCUUGGGGAAGAACAAAAUGACGGUACCCAAGGAAUCAGCAUCGGCUAACUCCGUGCCAGCAGCCGC
This 450-nucleotide ribosomal RNA is filed under the name uncultured bacterium. RNAcentral's name for it is "SSU rRNA". It matches the Rfam family "Bacterial small subunit ribosomal RNA", at positions 26 to 518 of the family's 1533-position model. The record is from RNAcentral.